CGAAUUUAUAUUUGAGAUUUUUCUGCAGGGGUUAGUCCAACAAAAAUAUUCCAAUAUCUACUAUAGCAUACUAUUAGCUAAAAAAUCAACCUAGACACCAUGUCUAAUUUCAUUCAAGAAGGCAUUUUAACCACGUGUAAUUAAAAGCCUUUGAGAGUAAGAUCACCACUCCUAAACUAGGCACCAUGCUUUAUUUAAGAGAUGUAUGAAACUACUCCAAACUUAAACAUAACUAUAGCAAAUAAAGGUAGCAUGAG
RNAcentral lists this long non-coding RNA (257 nucleotides) under Sorghum bicolor (sorghum). Its description in RNAcentral is "long non-coding RNA (SBIC_LNC008567)". The record is from RNAcentral. Lineage: Eukaryota; Viridiplantae; Streptophyta; Magnoliopsida; Poales; Poaceae.